This 74-nucleotide transfer RNA is filed under the name bacterium. RNAcentral describes it as "tRNA-Gln". It matches the Rfam family "tRNA". Rfam says of the family: Transfer RNA (tRNA) molecules are approximately 80 nucleotides in length. Their secondary structure includes four short double-helical elements and three loops (D, anti-codon, and T loops). The record is from RNAcentral. RNAcentral also lists the same sequence under 1 other name.
UGUCCGGUGGUGUAAUGGUAGCACAUGGGUUUUUGGUGCCCUUAGUCAUGGUUCGAAUCCAUGCCGGAUAACCA